This 1825-nucleotide long non-coding RNA is filed under the name Sus scrofa (pig). RNAcentral's name for it is "lncRNA (ENSSSCG00040008780.1)". The record is from RNAcentral. Lineage: Eukaryota; Metazoa; Chordata; Mammalia; Artiodactyla; Suidae.
AACACAAAUUUACUAAGUUAAGCAACAUUGUUAACAACAUGAGAUCGGUAUAAAAGGAAAAAUUUUAUGUGAAUGAUGUGUCCUUUUUUCCCUUUGCCCAUAGAGAGGGUUUGCCUCCCUGAAGAGAGAAACACAGUGACUUAAGUUUGGGGGCAACACAGUGGAUUCAGGAGCAAUCCUAGUUCAUCUCUGUGUGUUUUUGAUAAAUUGUGAAAUCGUUGUAGUAGAAUUUACCUGUACAUUUAUUCUGAACAGUAACUGAAUUAAUUCACUGGCAGCCAUUUUUCAGGGCAAGAAGUCUACGUAAACAUUGGUUCAAAUAAAUUGAAGGAGAGGGCAAUUUCGCAUCACAGGGAAAAGAAUCAUGCCGUUAUUCUUAGUUUGCCAAGGGAGAGUGGAAUAGAAGCACCACGGAUGUGUCUGUUACGGCAAUUUGUGAAGGUCACACAAUUAGUUAUUUAUUGAACUUAUAUUUGAACCAAGAUCUGCCUGAUUCCCAUAUUCAGGUAAUUUCCACUAUACUGUACUGUGAAUUCCAAUCUUAUUAACAAGCAACACAAACAUGCAACUCCUGAUAAAAGUGCUCUCGUCAUGAAGAAUCUUGGGCUAUUUCUUUGGCAGGAAGGCUGACAGGAAUGAUGUCAGAGCCCCAUUUUUCUUUGCCUGGAUCUCAACUAAGAAUCCUUGAACAAAUUCAUUUUCCAUGGCUAUCCCAUAGCUUUCUACCUAGAGAAAUAUUGGUAGUUUAAGAAAAAGCUUAAAGAGUAGUAAAUUAAUCAGAAAGCUUUUGAUAUUUAAUAUAAAUUUGAGAAAAAAAAAUUGGAGUUCCUGUCGUAGCUCAGUGGAAACGAAUCUAAUAGCCAUGAGGACACAGGUUCGAUCCCUGGCCUCUCUGUGGGUUAAGAAUCUGGCAGUUCAGUGAGCUGUGGUCUAGGUCGCAGAUGCGGCUUGGAUCCCGCGUUGCUGUGGCUGUGGUGUAGGCUGACAGCUAUAGCUCCAAUUCAACCCCCUAGCCUGGGAACCUCCCUAUGCCGUGGGUGCAGCCCUAAAAAAACAGAAAAAAAUAAAUAAAAUCAUAAAUAAGUAAACAAAUUGAUUUGAAGGCGGAGCUUUGUAAGCUUGUUACAUGUCCCACAAAUGUACUCUAAUUGUUUGGGGAACAAAAGCAGGAAAUUCUCUGAUCCCUAAGCCCAGUUUGCCUCUGAAUCUGCCUUUGCCAAGCUCUUCACUCUGUAAUGUCCUCAGACUCAGAAUCUUUCUACACCUCUUCCUCUUUUAUCAUUUACCACCUAUUCUGUUCUUAGCUUCCCUGCAUCUUUUCCCUAGAGGAACUUCUGAUCUGGUCUCCUAGCUUCUAGGAGAACCUAUCCGUUUCCUCCUGGAAAUAUUCUAUCCACUGGAAAUUAUUUUUUCUUUCCAUAACAUUGGAGGAAAAACUAAAUCUCCAUCCAUCCUAGAUUUGUCUGUCGCGCUUCUUUUCUGGAUUGAAAACCAACUGCCCUGGAUUAAAUUGCUCUUAAGCAGAGGUUCUAAACACAGAUGCCCUGUUUGGGAGGUGUGGGUAGAGAGAGGCUCACCACAUCUUUCUGCGUGGGCGUGACUUUUCUCUCUCUUAAGAAAUGGCCAUUUUUCAAAUCAAAAGAAAGACCACAGAGAAACCGAAGGCCCUGACAGUCAUCACGGGUUACUUGUGCACAGGAUUUUUCAGUAGGAUGGAUGUUCUGUGUAAAGGCAACUUUAACCCAAUUUACUUAAUAGGGCGUAAUAUGGGGUUUUGAAAUAGUAAACCCAACAGUAAUUGGCUUCCCUAGCAAAAAAAAAAAAA